UACGUAGGGCGCAAGCGUUGUCCGGAAUUAUUGGGCGUAAAGAGCUCGUAGGCGGCUUGUCACGUCGGGUGUGAAAGCCCGGGGCUUAACCCCGGGCCUGCAGUCGAUACGGGCAGACUGGAGUUCGGCAGGGGAGACUGGAAUUCCUGGUGUAGCGGUGAAAUGCGCAGAUAUCAGGGGGAACACCGGUGGCGAAGGCGGGUCUCUGGGCCGAUACUGACGCUGAGGAGCGAAAGCGUGGGGAGCAAACAGG
This 253-nucleotide ribosomal RNA is filed under the name uncultured bacterium. RNAcentral describes it as "partial 16S ribosomal RNA". It matches the Rfam family "Bacterial small subunit ribosomal RNA", at positions 524 to 776 of the family's 1533-position model. The record is from RNAcentral.